RNAcentral lists this ribosomal RNA (402 nucleotides) under bacterium. RNAcentral describes it as "partial 16S ribosomal RNA". It matches the Rfam family "Bacterial small subunit ribosomal RNA", at positions 355 to 776 of the family's 1533-position model. The record is from RNAcentral.
UGGGGAAUUUUGCACAAUGGGGGAAACCCUGAUGCAGCGACGCCGCGUGAUUUAGAAGGCCUUCGGGUUGUAAAAAUCUUUUCUAUGGGAAGAAAAUGACAGUACCAUAGGAAUAAGGACCGGCUAAUUACGUGCCAGCAGCCGCGGUAAUACGUAAGGUCCGAGCGUUGUCCGGAAUCAUUGGGCGUAAAGGGUACGUAGGCGGGUAAGCAAGUUAGAAGUGAAAUCCUAUAGCUCAACUAUAGUAAGCUUUUAAAACUGCUGAUCUUGAGGUAUGGAAGGGAAAGUGGAAUUCCUAGUGUAGCGGUGAAAUGCGCAGAUAUUAGGAGGGAUACCGGUGGCGAAGGCGAGUUUCUGGCCAUAACCUGACGCUGAGGUACGAAAGCGUGGGUAGCAAACAGG